This 253-nucleotide ribosomal RNA is filed under the name uncultured bacterium. Its description in RNAcentral is "partial 16S ribosomal RNA". It matches the Rfam family "Bacterial small subunit ribosomal RNA", at positions 524 to 776 of the family's 1533-position model. The record is from RNAcentral.
GACGUAGGGCGCGAGCGUUGUCCGGAUUUACUGGGCGUAAAGGGCGCGUAGGCGGCCUGCUAAGUCGAACGUGAAAUCCCUGGGCUCAACCCAGGAACUGCGUCCGAUACUGGUUGGCUUGAAUCCGGGAGAGGGAUGUGGAAUUCCAGGUGUAGCGGUGAAAUGCGUAGAUAUCUGGAGGAACACCGGUGGCGAAGGCGACAUCCUGGACCGGUAUUGACGCUGAGGCGCGAAAGCCAGGGGAGCAAACGGG